RNAcentral lists this transfer RNA (70 nucleotides) under Loxodonta africana (African savanna elephant). It matches the Rfam family "tRNA". Rfam says of the family: Transfer RNA (tRNA) molecules are approximately 80 nucleotides in length. Their secondary structure includes four short double-helical elements and three loops (D, anti-codon, and T loops). Further hydrogen bonds mediate the characteristic L-shaped molecular structure. tRNAs have two regions of fundamental functional importance: the anti-codon, which is responsible for specific mRNA codon recognition, and the 3' end, to which the tRNAs corresponding amino acid is attached (by aminoacyl-tRNA synthetases). tRNAs cope with the degeneracy of the genetic code in two manners: having more than one tRNA (with a specific anti-codon) for a particular amino acid; and 'wobble' base-pairing, i.e. permitting non-standard base-pairing at the 3rd anti-codon position. The record is from Rfam by way of RNAcentral. Lineage: Eukaryota; Metazoa; Chordata; Mammalia; Proboscidea; Elephantidae.
GCAUUGGUGGUUCAGUGGUAGAAUUCUCACCUUCCGUGUGAGAGACCGGGUUCGAUUCCCAGCCAAUGCA